GUGUUAAAAACGCCCCAAAAACAACCUAAAUGAUAAUUUUUUUACUUGAAAUUUUAUGACUUUUCCUAGAUUGGCCCCAACUGCAGAAAAAUUGAAAUGUUGUUUUUAUUCACAUUUCCAUGGAAGCUGUACAAAAAAAAGUACAAAGGUGGUCUUCGGGUCAAAAUGACCCAUGACGCAAAUAGGGUUGAAAUCAAGGUCACAAAGUUAUUUACACACCAUAGAAUGUUUCAGUGUUUUAGUUGUGUCUCAGAUCAAUUAGUAGAACACGUGAACAAGAUGGUAGCAGACAUAAACAAGACAAGAUAGCUCCCCUACGAUUGUCACACUUUUUCUGUUACAAUUUGACACCGGCCCCCCAUCAGAGAAGGGAAAAGUUAUGUGG
This is a long non-coding RNA of Hippocampus zosterae (dwarf seahorse), 385 nucleotides long. RefSeq lists it as uncharacterized. NCBI's taxonomy places the organism in Eukaryota, Metazoa, Chordata, Actinopteri, Syngnathiformes, Syngnathidae. The transcript is spliced from 2 exons. The record is from RefSeq and is a predicted model, not a curated record.